Molecule: non-coding RNA, 207 nt
Filed under: Bacteroidota bacterium
Lineage: Bacteria; Pseudomonadati; Bacteroidota
Source: RNAcentral
UCAAUUAUGUAUGAUUUAGGUGCUCCGAUUUCAAAUCGGAGAUAAUAGGAAACCGUGUGAAAAUCACGGGCUGUCGCGCAACUGUAAUCUCGUCUCAAUUCGUUGAGAAAGCGCUUCUGAUAAAUUUAUACCACUGUUCUAAAAAAGAAUGGGAAGGUAAUCAGAAGUCGGGAAAGUCAGGAAACCUGCCAAAUUUAUUUGAUGACU